RNAcentral lists this long non-coding RNA (259 nucleotides) under Drosophila guanche. The record is from RNAcentral. Lineage: Eukaryota; Metazoa; Arthropoda; Insecta; Diptera; Drosophilidae.
GGCUGUGGUGCAAUGGGCAAUGGGGCCUGCAUGUUUGCGUCACAGUUCGGUCCCAGGUUCGAUUCCUGGUGAAGGUUGCGUAGAUUUAUUAAAUAAAGUAGUACGGGGGCGGCCACGCUUGCAAUAGAGACGCUUGCUAUAAAAAGCAGCGACAACAAAAAUAGAAAAACUGUCAAAUAAAAUGUAAAAAAAUAGUAAAACUGUGAAACAGAAAAAAAUAAUAAAAAUAAAGUAAAAAAAAAUUGUUUUUUUUCAAGAA